This 253-nucleotide ribosomal RNA is filed under the name uncultured bacterium. RNAcentral's name for it is "partial 16S ribosomal RNA". It matches the Rfam family "Bacterial small subunit ribosomal RNA", at positions 524 to 776 of the family's 1533-position model. The record is from RNAcentral.
GACGAACCGUGCGAACGUUGUUCGGAAUCACUGGGCUUAAAGGGCGCGUAGGCGGGCGGGCGCGUCCGGGGUGAAAUCCCACGGCUCAACCGUGGAACGGCCUCGGAUACGGGCGGCCUCGAGGGGGGUAGGGGCGUGCGGAACUCUGGGUGGAGCGGUGAAAUGCGUAGAUAUCGCUUGGAACGCCAAAGGUGAAAACAGACGACUGGGGGUGUGCUGACGCUGAGACACGAAAGCCAGGGGAGCGAACGGG